UACGGGGGGGGCAAGCGUUGUUCGGAAUUACUGGGCGUAAAGCGUGCGCAGGCGGUUUUGUAAGCCAGAUGUGAAAUCCCCGGGCUCAACCUGGGAAUGGCAUUUGGGACUGCAAGGCUGGAGUUUGGCAGAGGAGACUGGAAUUCCAGGUGUAGCGGUGAAAUGCGUAGAUAUCUGGAGGAACACCGGUGGCGAAGGCGGCAUCCUGGACCGGCAUUGACGCUGAGGAGCGAAAGCCAGGGGAGCAAACGGG
RNAcentral lists this ribosomal RNA (253 nucleotides) under uncultured bacterium. Its description in RNAcentral is "partial 16S ribosomal RNA". It matches the Rfam family "Bacterial small subunit ribosomal RNA", at positions 524 to 776 of the family's 1533-position model. The record is from RNAcentral.